RNAcentral lists this ribosomal RNA (385 nucleotides) under uncultured Pseudomonas sp. RNAcentral describes it as "bacterial SSU rRNA". It matches the Rfam family "Bacterial small subunit ribosomal RNA", at positions 1000 to 1382 of the family's 1533-position model. Lineage: Bacteria; Pseudomonadati; Pseudomonadota; Gammaproteobacteria; Pseudomonadales; Pseudomonadaceae. The record is from RNAcentral.
CCAGAGAUGGAUUGGUGCCUUCGGGAACUCUGACACAGGUGCUGCAUGGCUGUCGUCAGGCUCGUGUCGUGAGAUGUUGGGUUAAGUCCCGUAACGAGCGCAACCCUUGUCCUUAGUUACCAGCACGUUAUGGUGGGCACUCUAAGGAGACUGCCGGUGACAAACCGGAGGAAGGUGGGGAUGACGUCAAGUCAUCAUGGCCCUUACGGCCUGGGCUACACACGUGCUACAAUGGUCGGUACAAAGGGUUGCCAAGCCGCGAGGUGGAGCUAAUCCCAUAAAACCGAUCGUAGUCCGGAUCGCAGUCUGCAACUCGACUGCGUGAAGUCGGAAUCGCUAGUAAUCGUGAAUCAGAAUGUCACGGUCGAAUACGUUCCCGGGCCUU